CACGCGCGCGAUUCCAGCCC
This 20-nucleotide microRNA is filed under the name Gallus gallus (chicken). RNAcentral describes it as "microRNA Ros-gga". Lineage: Eukaryota; Metazoa; Chordata; Aves; Galliformes; Phasianidae. The record is from RNAcentral.